This 397-nucleotide ribosomal RNA is filed under the name Platyhelminthes sp. MM01512. RNAcentral describes it as "SSU rRNA". It matches the Rfam family "Eukaryotic small subunit ribosomal RNA", at positions 592 to 998 of the family's 1831-position model. Lineage: Eukaryota; Metazoa; Platyhelminthes. The record is from RNAcentral.
CAAUAGCAUAUAUUAAAGUUGAUGCAGUUAAAAAGCUCGUAGUUGAAUUCAAUCUUUGAUCUUUAAUACUAGCUUGCUAGUGUUUAAGAUAAAGGUUAAACAUCGUCGUGAGCAUCGAUGACUUUAAUCGGUUGUCGUUUGUGAUCGGCAUGUUUACUUUGAAUAAUUCAAGUUGUUCAAAGAAGUCUAUUGACUAAAUGGUGAUGCAUGGAAUAAUGAAAUAAGACUCCGGUCUUAUUUUGUUGGUUUUAAAGAUCAGAGUAAUGAUUAAAAGGGACUGCCGGAGGCAUACGUAUACCAGGGGGAGAGGUGAAAUUCGUUGAUCCUUGGUAGACGAUCUAUUGCGAAAGCAUUUGCCUAGAAUGUUUUCUUUAAUCAAGAACGAAAGUCAGAGGUU